AUUGAACGCUGGCGGCAUGCCUUACACAUGCAAGUCGAACGGCAGCGGACCUUCGGGUGCCGGCGAGUGGCGAACGGGUGAGUAAUAUAUCGGAACGUGCCCAGGUAGUGGGGGAUAACCCGGCGAAAGUCGGACUAAUACCGCAUACGACCUACGGGUGAAAGCGGGGGAUCGCAAGACCUCGCGCUAUCGGAGCGGCCGAUAUCAGAUUAGCUUGUUGGUGGGGUAAAAGCCUACCAAGGCGACGAUCUGUAGCUGGUCUGAGAGGACGACCAGCCACACUGGGACUGAGACACGGCCCAGACUCCUACGGGAGGCAGCAGUGGGGAAUUUUGGACAAUGGGCGCAAGCCUGAUCCAGCCAUGCCGCGUGCGGGAAGAAGGCCUCGGUUGUAACG
Molecule: ribosomal RNA, 397 nt
Filed under: uncultured bacterium
Lineage: Bacteria
Description: bacterial SSU rRNA
Rfam family: Bacterial small subunit ribosomal RNA
Source: RNAcentral